Long non-coding RNA from Calypte anna (Anna's hummingbird), 697 nucleotides. RefSeq lists it as uncharacterized. Lineage: Eukaryota; Metazoa; Chordata; Aves; Apodiformes; Trochilidae. The record is from RefSeq and is a predicted model, not a curated record. The transcript is spliced from 3 exons.
UUCUGUAAUGCAGGCCUUCCUCCUUACCUAAGGAAAUGUGCCUGAAUGUUAAAGGGUCACUAUGAUAAAGUGAACAUAGAGGUACACCAACCCUCUCAUUUCCUAACACUCUGCAUUAGAAAAGUGGGAGUUGAACCCAGACAAAAGAGAUCAAAACUCUUCAUACUUCCCUUAUAUUAUUUCCUAAUAAGGUCAGCUAAAUAAGCUAUCGGGCCCAUACCCCGAAAAUGAUGGUUCAACCCCUUCCCUUAUUAAUGAACCCCUACGCUAAACUAACAUUCUCCUUGAGCCUUAUAUUAGGAACAACCAUCACCAUUUCAAGUAGCCAUUAAAUGUCGGCCUGGGCCGGACUUGAAAUCAACACCCUAGCCAUCAUCCCGCUUAUUUCAAAGUCCCACCACCCUCGAGCCAUCGAAGCAGCGAUCAAAUACUUCCUCGUCCAAGCUGCUGCCUCCACCCUACUGCUAUUCUCAAGCAUAAUUAAUGCCUGACACACAGGACAAUGAGACAUCACUCAACUAAACCACCCCACAUCAUCCCUGCUACUGACCACAGCAAUUGCAAUAAAACUUGGCUUAGUGCCCUUCCACUUCUGAUUCCCCGAAGCCCUGCAAGGCUCCCCCCUAACAACAGCUAUACUCUUGUCAACAGUAAUAAAAUUCCCCCCAAUGACUAUUCUUUUCCUCACAUCCCACUC